GCAUGAAACUGCUAAUUGCACAUGGAAGUCACCAAGAACUUGGUAAAGGUGAUUCAAUGACACAUCUAAUGAUUAACAUGUGCGAUGUGGUUCACAUGUUAAUGCAAGCAACUGAAGUGCAUUACCAAUGUCCCAAGAGGAGCAAUCACACAAACACUCGAUUUCACACAUCGAGGAGCCAAACACUAAUAAUUCAGAAGGAUCCCUGGCUGGUGCUGUUUGGGAUGUAUUCCGCAGGCAGGAUCUUCCAAAGCUUAAUGAAUAUCUAGCUGUUCAUCGGGAAGAAUGUGCAGCUAGAUGUCAACAAGUGUCUUCUGUAAUGACUCAUUUCUUCCCUAUGACAAAUUAGUCUUAAAUAAAUUCUCAAAGGUGUUUCAUGUUACUAU
Molecule: long non-coding RNA, 386 nt
Organism: Zea mays
Lineage: Eukaryota; Viridiplantae; Streptophyta; Magnoliopsida; Poales; Poaceae
Exons: 3
Source: RefSeq, a predicted model, not a curated record